GUGCCAGCCGCCGCGGUAAGACGUAGGUGGCGAGCGUUAUCCGGAUUUACUGGGCGUAAAGCGCGUGCAGGCGGUUCGGUAAGUCGGGCGUGAAAUCUCCUGGCUCAACUGGGAGAGGCCGUCCGAUACUACCGGACUUGAGGGCAGUAGAGGGAGGUGGAAUUCCGGGUGUAGUGGUGAAAUGCGUAGAUAUCCGGAGGAACACCGGUGGCGAAAGCGGCCUCCUGGACUGCCCCUGACGCUCAGACGCGAAAGCUAGGGGAGCGAACGGGAUUAGAUACCCCGGUAGUCC
This 292-nucleotide ribosomal RNA is filed under the name uncultured bacterium. RNAcentral describes it as "partial 16S ribosomal RNA". It matches the Rfam family "Bacterial small subunit ribosomal RNA", at positions 505 to 796 of the family's 1533-position model. The record is from RNAcentral.